CAGUGUGAUAGCUGUUUUAGAAUUUGUAUAGCAGGUUUUCCAGUUCUCACCAGAAAAUCCCC
RNAcentral lists this small nuclear RNA (62 nucleotides) under Carlito syrichta (Philippine tarsier). RNAcentral's name for it is "U7 small nuclear RNA (ENSTSYG00000026594.1)". It matches the Rfam family "U7 small nuclear RNA". From Rfam's summary of the family: Animal histone pre-mRNAs are spliced by a different mechanism than nuclear pre-mRNAs and self-splicing introns. The record is from Rfam by way of RNAcentral. Lineage: Eukaryota; Metazoa; Chordata; Mammalia; Primates; Tarsiidae.